RNA transcript from Phyllopteryx taeniolatus (common seadragon), 3829 nucleotides. It is a transcript of the gene named tRNA methyltransferase 1-like, with no coding region annotated. The record is from RefSeq and is a predicted model, not a curated record. Lineage: Eukaryota; Metazoa; Chordata; Actinopteri; Syngnathiformes; Syngnathidae. The transcript has 17 exons.
GAAACACUUUUCAUAGAUGGACAGAAAGGGCUGUGUGCUGUGCAACCGUCAUAGACUGUGCGUCACACAAUGCAACAAAGACCGACACAUCUCUAUACAAACUAAACUUGAGGGUCUUGAGAUGCUGAUCGACCUCAAUGGUGCUGGGCGGAAGUCUUGUCCUCUGUGUCCUGAAGAGAAGUUCAAAGCAUGUUAUAGCCGCAAGCUCCGCAGACAUCUCCAAAACCUCCACUGGAAGGUGUAUGUGGAGUUUGACGGUCAGAAGAUGUGCAUCUGCCACUUGCCCUGUAGACACCCGAAACCAAGUCAGAGUGGAGAUCAGGUGUUGGGGAGGCAUGUGGCUCACUACCACUGUGUUGUUUGUUCCGUCACCAUUGCCCGCAAGACUGACAUGGUCAGCCAUCUGAAACGCCAUAUCAACAAGGGAGAAACAAAGUCCAGCUACUCGGGGAGUCAAGAUGUUCUAUUUGAAGAGCCUGAGACUUCUAGUCAGGUGUAUGAAAUCAUGAAAGAACUGGAUACAAAUGUACAGCUGUUCCCAAUGUACAACACUCCGCAGAAAAGUGAAACUUACUUCAACCGAAAGAUGAAGAGCAACAGGCAACUUGUGUUCUGCUCGCUGGCUGUUCUUGCUAAAGAGAAGAGCCCUCUGGAGUGUCUAGAUGCUUUUGGAGCCACAGGGAUCACAGGCUUGCAAUGGGCAAAGCAUCUUCGUAAUGCAGUCAAAGUGACCAUAACAGAUAUCAGCGAAAUCUGUGUGAAAAUGAUCAAGAGAAACUGUGAGCUGAACCAAAUACAGGUGGGCCCCCGGGGGAUUGAAGAUGUUGCAGGUGAAUUUAAAGGAGUACCCAUAACAACAGUGGAAGUUACCAAGAUGGAUGCCAAUGUCAUGAUGCACCUGCGUCCUUUUGACUACAUUCACUUGGAUCCCUUUGGUACAGCAGUGAAUUUCUUGGACGCCGCCUUCAGAAAUGUCAGAAAUAUGGGCAUUAUUUCUGUGACAUCCACAGACACUGGAUCACUCUUUGCCAAGUCACCCAAUGUUACACUGCGACACUAUAAUUGUCACAUCGUACGCACAGAGUACUAUAAAGAGCUGGCUGCACGGAUGGUUGUUGCUGCAGUUGCCAGAGCAGCUGGCCGCUGUAACAAAGGCAUUGAUGUUCUGCUGGCAGUGGCAUUGGAGCAUUUCGUCUUGGUGGUGGUUAGAGUCCUCAGAGGUCCCACACAAGCUGAUGAGUCUGCAAAGAAGCUAAGAAAGUUAGUUCAUUGUCAGUGGUGUGAGGAAAGAGUCUUCCUCAAACAAGGCAAUAUGGUUGAUGAUACAUUGCCCUGUAACUGUCAUGGAAGUCUUCCUGGAAAAACUGCAGUGCAGCUGGGACCAUUAUGGUCUGGCCCACUGUUUAACACUGGCUUUCUGAGGAAGAUGCUCUUGGCAGCAGUACAGCACAGUAUGGCCGAUAUCCAACCAUUGGUCAAAACUCUGAUUUGCGAAUCUGACUGUACCACUCUGAAGCCUGUAAUCCAUGGAGCAUCAGCGUUUACCAACCAGGUAGAAUGUGGCGUCAUCAUUAAGACGUCUCAGAGUGAAGAAGAUUCAGGUCCUGCUGAUCAGUCUGGAGCUGUGCUUGGCCCUGAAGUUCCACUCAAAGGAACUCUGAAUGCUUCAGCAUAUCAAGAGAUUUUGGACAAUUCCAUGCUCCCAACUUUGUGGGACCAGUUUGGAGCUGGCCCCUUCCAUCCAUAAAGAUAUGGAUGACAGAGUCUGGUGUUGAUGAACUUGUCUGGCCUGCACAGAGUCCUGAUCUCAAUCUUUGAAUUAGAAGAGAGCCAAGCCUUCUUGUCCGACAUCAGUGUGUGACCUCACAAAUGCGCUUCUGGAAGAAUGGUAAAAAACUCCCAUAAACACACUUCUAAACCUUGUGGACAGCCUCCCCAGAAGAGUUGAAGCUGUUAUCGCGGCAAAGGGUGGACCGACGUCAUAUUGAACCCUAUGGAUUAGGAAUGGGAUGUCACUUAAAUUCAUAUGAGCGAGUUUAUUCUACCAAACCAACAACUUUGGAAGAACUUGAAGGGCGAAUACGAGAAGUUAUGUCUUCCAUCCCACAAGAGUUCCUUAUGAAAUCAGUUCAUGCGGUUCCCAGGCGGCUUGAGAAACUCCUGGCGAAUGCUGGCGCCCAUAUCCAAUUUGAAAUAAAACUCCAUGCAAUAAACUUUCUUCUCAAUGUUCAUUUCCUGUAAGAAUUAUAGUUCAGAAAUAAAUUAAUACUUAAAAAUAGGGAGUUACUUUUCAAUCACCCUGUGUGUGUGUGUGUGUGUGUGUGUGUGUGUAUAUAUAUAUAUAUACUGUGAGUGUGAGUGAGUGAGUGAGUGAGAGAGUGAGAUCUUUCUAGAUCUGGCCGUCCGACCAAGCUGAGUAACCGGGGAAGAAGGCCCUUGGUCAGAGAGGAGAACUCUAGGAUCAUUUGUCGCAAUAAGUGAAUGGCCCCACUCCCACCUAAUAAGUUCUAGGAUUGUGUGUCUGCGGACGCAUGCAAGUCAAUUGACACCGUUUUGCAUGCGCAAUAACUGACAGAAGUGUCCUGUAAUUGCUGUGACUACACUGUGGAGGCUGAGGACACCACCCAAUCAAUCGAGAGGCAGCGUCGGGCCCAGAAGUCCACCGAGAGCAACCCGGUGGACGGAACACGUCCCACACCGAGGGACCCAUGGCUGGACACCGGCCCUACCAAGGCGCCCCAAAAACUGGCCACCUGGAGGAGGCCGCAGGGACCCAAUGCCACCCUCCCCAGCCCAAGGGCCAGAUGGUGUACCUUGUUUGAUGGAAAGUAGGGCGGAUUGGGGUGCCUGACAAGGGAACGAUAAGUAAGGGGGAACCCAGGGAUCAGCCAUGGGGCAUGAGAGGGGAGCCCCCACGCCAAGCAGCCAUCCAGCCCAAGGGGCCCGGCCUCAGGAGCACCGCCAUGAGGCGAAUGAAAACCCAAAUCCCCCCCUGUUACUAUGACUGCCAGGUCCCCGACUGACAGUCAUUGGCCCUACCCUGUGUAUCGCUGCCCCAGCCCCCAAGUGGUGUGGUGCAUUAAAAUCUGGAGAGGCCAGUGAACCUGUGGGGCGGGGUGUGUCAGGGUUGCUGGGCAAUGCUGCCUAACAGCACCCACCCAAAAGACCCCCCCCACCCCCCCACCCCCCAGAGAAGGAUGUAUGGCGUGAAUUAAAAGGAUAGGGAUGAGUGUGUGUAAUGCAUUAAAAUCCAGGGGGGCAGGCAGGGCAGAGGGGCUGGGCGCCUGGACCGGGAAACAGCACUGACGAAACCCACACUCCCCGACCCCACAUUAGCCCCCCAAGAAGCUGUAGUUAUUAUUAUUAUUAUUAUUAUUAUUAUCCAUCCAUCCAUUUUCUGAGCCGCUUCGCCUCACGAGGGUCGCGGGCGUGCUGGAGCCUAUCCCAGCUAUCAUCGGGCAGGAGGUGGGGUACACCCUGAACUGGUUGCCAGCCAAUCGCAGGGCACUUAUAAGCAAACAACCAUUGGCACUCAUAUUCACACCUAGGGGCAAUUUAAAGUUGUCAUUUAACCUCCCAUGCAUGUUUUUGGGAUGUGGGAGGAAACCGGAGUGCCCGGAGAAAACCCACGCAGGCACGGGGAGAACAUGCAAACUCCACACAGGCAGGGCUGUGGAUUGAACCCCCGGUCCUCAGAACUGAAAGAGAAAGACUGUUGAGGAGUCAAGGAACACUGUAAAGAAGCUGAAGUCUGACUCAUCUCUGGAACAUCCGGCAUUCUACUACAGCAUUCACCGCCACAGCAUGCGUGGGAUGAACAUGCCUAAGU